Molecule: ribosomal RNA, 709 nt
Filed under: uncultured bacterium
Lineage: Bacteria
Description: bacterial SSU rRNA
Rfam family: Bacterial small subunit ribosomal RNA
Source: RNAcentral
AGCGGCGGACGGGUGAGCCCGCUUGGGUAACCUGCCCUAUACACACGGAUAACAUACCGAAAGGUAUGCUAAUACGAGAUAAUAUAAGAGAUUCACAUGGAUUUCUUAUCAAAGCUGAGGCGGUAUAGGAUGGACCCGCGUCUGAUUAGCUAGUUGGUAAGGUAACGGCUUACCAAGGCGACGAUCAGUAGCCGACCUGAGAGGGUGAUCGGCCACAUUGGAACUGAGACACGGUCCAAACUCCUACGGGAGGCAGCAGUGGGGAAUAUUGCACAAUGGGCGAAAGCCUGAUGCAGCAACGCCGCGUGAGUGAUGAAGGCCUUCGGGUCGUAAAACUCUGUCCUCAAGGAAGAUAGUGACGGUACUUGAGGAGGAAGCCCCGGCUAACUACGUGCCAGCAGCCGCGGUAAUACGUAGGGGGCUAGCGUUAUCCGGAUUUACUGGGCGUAAAGGGUGCGUAGGUGGUCUCUUAAGUCAGGAGUGAAAGGCUACGGCUUAACCGUAGUAAGCUCUUGAAACUGGGAGACUUGAGUGCAGGAGAGGAAAGUGGAAUUCCUAGUGUAGCGGUGAAAUGCGUAGAUAUUAGGAGGAACACCAGUAGCGAAGGCGGCUUUCUGGACUGUAACUGACACUGAGGCACGAAAGCGUGGGGAGCAAGCAGGAUUAGAUACCCUGGUAGUCCACGCCGUAAACGAUGAGUACUAGGUGU